AACGAACGCUGGCGGCAGGCCUGACACAUGCAAGUCGAACGCUGUAGCAAUACAGAGUGGCAGACGGGUGAGUAACGCGUGGGAACGUGCCCUUUGGUUCGGAAUAACCCAGGGAAACUUGGGCUAAUACCGGAUACGUCCGUGAGGAGAAAGAUUUAUCGCCAAAGGAUCGGCCCGCGUCGGAUUAGCUAGUUGGUGAGGUAAAGGCUCACCAAGGCGACGAUCCGUAGCUGGCUGAGAGGAUGACCA
RNAcentral lists this ribosomal RNA (249 nucleotides) under uncultured bacterium. Its description in RNAcentral is "partial 16S ribosomal RNA". It matches the Rfam family "Bacterial small subunit ribosomal RNA", at positions 29 to 306 of the family's 1533-position model. The record is from RNAcentral.